CAGCCGUAAACUAUGCGCGUUAGGUGUAUCGGUGACCACGAGUCACCGAGGUGCCGAAGGGAAACCGUGAAACGUGCCGCCUGGGAAGUACGGUCGCAAGGCUGAAACUUAAAGGGAAUUGGCGGGGGAGCACCACAACGGGUGGAGCCUGCGGUUUAAAUUGGACUCAAACGCCGGGAAGCUCACCGGAUAAAGACAGCGGAAUGAUUGCCGGGCUNAAGACUCUGCAUGACUAGCUGAGAGGAGGUGCAU
Molecule: ribosomal RNA, 252 nt
Filed under: uncultured archaeon
Lineage: Archaea
Description: partial 16S ribosomal RNA
Rfam family: Archaeal small subunit ribosomal RNA
Source: RNAcentral